CAUGGUACUCGUCUCACAGUGCUUGAUGAGCAAUUUUCCAACCUCAAAAAUACUCAACAAACCAACCACUCGAAUCUCACCGUGACGGUUGACCGCCAUGGGACUACCCUUGAAGCAUUACAGACUAGCAAUGCAGCACUGUUAGCCUCAAAUCAGUGCCUGGAGCAGAUGUUUUAGAGACUUACAAAGAGGAAUCAGGAAGAACCCCUGGAUAGAAAACGUUGAGGGGUUCUACUCCGACCAGACCAGCUGGCAACACACUUGCUAAAGCUCAAUUUUCCCUACUUCUCAGGCAUCGAUCCCCC
This 305-nucleotide long non-coding RNA is filed under the name Linum usitatissimum (flax). RNAcentral's name for it is "long non-coding RNA (LUSI_LNC004173)". The record is from RNAcentral. Lineage: Eukaryota; Viridiplantae; Streptophyta; Magnoliopsida; Malpighiales; Linaceae.